Molecule: unclassified non-coding RNA, 18 nt
Filed under: Chlamydomonas reinhardtii
Lineage: Eukaryota; Viridiplantae; Chlorophyta; Chlorophyceae; Chlamydomonadales; Chlamydomonadaceae
Description: small RNA Cre_1708
Source: RNAcentral
GCCGGACCCGGCCGCAGU